This 520-nucleotide ribosomal RNA is filed under the name uncultured bacterium. RNAcentral describes it as "bacterial SSU rRNA". It matches the Rfam family "Archaeal small subunit ribosomal RNA", at positions 345 to 866 of the family's 1478-position model. The record is from RNAcentral.
AACCUCCGCAAUGUGAGAAAUCGCGACGGGGGGAUCCCAAGUGCCAUUCUUAACGGGAUGGCUUUUCAUUAGUGUAAAGAGCUUUUGGAAUAAGAGCUGGGCAAGACCGGUGCCAGCCGCCGCGGUAACACCGGCAGCUCUAGUGGUAACAAUUUUUAUUGGGCCUAAAGCGUCCGUAGCCGGUUUAAUAAGUCUCUGGUGAAAUCCUGCAGCUUAACUGUGGGAAUUGCUGGAGAUACUAUUAGACUUGAGACCGGGAGAGGUUAGAGGUACUCCCAGGGUAGAGGUGAAAUUCUGUAAUCCUGGGAGGACCGCCUGUUGCGAAGGCGUCUAACUGGAACGGUUCUGACGGUGAGGGACGAAAGUUAGGGGCGCGAACCGGAUUAGAUACCCGGGUAGUCCUAACUGUAACGAUGCGGACUUGGUGUUGGGGUGGCUUUGAGCUGCUUCAGUGCCGAAGGGAAGCUGUUAAGUCCGCCGCCUGGGAAGUACGGUCGCAAGACUGAAACUUAAAGGGAUU